GGCAGGAAGCCUAGACAAGGGUUCUGUACUCUGAAGGAAGUCAGAUGAAUUUCAGUAAGGAAAUUCAGUAACUAGUGAUAAUGUUGCCAUCACCAGCUGUCUACUAAUACAUGAAUAACAAGUACUUAGAAAGAAUUGGAGAGGCAGAAGGGAUGACACAGCUAUCUCACACCGGUAUGCAUAGUCACGGCUUAGGGAGGCACAAAGCAAAGUCUGUGACUGGAGGUGCCACAGUUCUCAAAGAGUACACUGCCUUCGGCUGAGAGGGGCAUUAAUACAGAGGACUGACUCCAUCCUCUGCUCGCCAUCAUCCUUCCCAGGUGCAUUCAUCAAGAGAGAAAGAUGGGAGAGGAAGCUUACCUUUCUGGUUAAGACAGAGAGAAUAACCGCAUUUUUCUUGUGCAGUGACAGAGAGCUGGAAGAAGGGGUUGUUCCUCUACUACAUUUUCAUCCAUUAAAAAAAAAGAAAAAAGAAAAAAGAAAAAAAAUAGGAAUGGACUGGAAAACCUUAAGAGAAAAAGAAAAAGAAAAAAAACCACAGGAAUCACUGCUUCCAUUCAGGCAAAAAAAAAAGGGGGGGGGAUCAUUACAAACAUCCCUAGCAGACAUGUUACACUGCUCAACACCAGUUUUCUUACCAUAUGAAACCAUCUAACACAGUUUAGUGAAGACCCAGGAAAAGAUGAAAUACUAAGUGGGAUGAGCUCUCCCCUGCUUUUAAAAAAUCAAACUAAACAUGAAGAAAGAUAUCAAACUGUUCACAACUCUGCAUUCCACAAGCUUAAACGAUAAAUGUAUUCAACCAAGUCAGUCUUUGAAACUUUUCAUUUAGCUCUGUGAAGAUAAAGAACAGAUCAGCAUUUUCAUUAAAAAAAAAUGUCAUGGCUCAUUCCUUUCUGUUAUUGAAGAGAAUGCAGCAACAUCUUUCA
Molecule: long non-coding RNA, 929 nt
Organism: Gallus gallus (chicken)
Lineage: Eukaryota; Metazoa; Chordata; Aves; Galliformes; Phasianidae
Exons: 3
Source: RefSeq, a predicted model, not a curated record